This 209-nucleotide long non-coding RNA is filed under the name Ficedula albicollis (Collared flycatcher). RNAcentral's name for it is "lncRNA (ENSFALG00000027273.1)". The record is from RNAcentral. Lineage: Eukaryota; Metazoa; Chordata; Aves; Passeriformes; Muscicapidae.
GGGGGGGGGGGGGGGGGGGGGGGGGGGGGGGGGGGGGGGGGGGGGGGGGGGGGGGGGGGGGGGGGGGGGGGGGGGGGGGGGGGGGGAUGCCCAUGUGUAUUAUGGGAUGCCCAGGUGACAUUUUGGGGUCCCCAGGUGUAUUUUGGGGUCCCCAGGUGUAUUAUGGGAUGCCCAGGUGACACUUCGGGGUCCCCAGGUGAUAUUCUGGG